This 2415-nucleotide ribosomal RNA is filed under the name Colletotrichum graminicola M1.001. RNAcentral's name for it is "eukaryotic LSU rRNA". The stretch from base 317 to 2415 matches the Rfam family "Eukaryotic large subunit ribosomal RNA", at positions 1 to 2149 of the family's 3401-position model. The record is from RNAcentral. Lineage: Eukaryota; Fungi; Ascomycota; Sordariomycetes; Glomerellales; Glomerellaceae.
ACUUUUAACAACGGAUCUCUUGGUUCUGGCAUCGAUGAAGAACGCAGCGAAAUGCGAUAAGUAAUGUGAAUUGCAGAAUUCAGUGAAUCAUCGAAUCUUUGAACGCACAUUGCGCCCGCCAGCAUUCUGGCGGGCAUGCCUGUUCGAGCGUCAUUUCAACCCUCAAGCUCCGCUUGGUGUUGGGGCCCUACGGCGUACGUCGUAGGCCCUUAAAGGUAGUGGCGGACCCUCCCGGAGCCUCCUUUGCGUAGUAACUAACGUCUCGCAUCGGGAUCCGGAGGGACUCUUGCCGUAAACCCCCAACUUUUUAACUGGUUGACCUCGGAUCAGGUAGGAAUACCCGCUGAACUUAAGCAUAUCAAUAAGCGGAGGAAAAGAAACCAACAGGGAUUGCCCCAGUAACGGCGAGUGAAGCGGCAACAGCUCAAAUUUGAAAUCUGGCCCCAGGCCCGAGUUGUAAUUUGCAGAGGAUGCUUUUGGCGCGGUGCCUUCCGAGUUCCCUGGAACGGGACGCCAUAGAGGGUGAGAGCCCCGUACGGUUGGACACCAAGCCUCUGUAAAGCUCCUUCGACGAGUCGAGUAGUUUGGGAAUGCUGCUCAAAAUGGGAGGUAUAUUCUUCUAAAGCUAAAUAUUGGCCAGAGACCGAUAGCGCACAGUAGAGUGAUCGAAAGAUGAAAAGCACUUGAAAAGAGGGUUAAACAGCACGUGAAAUUGUUAAAAGGGAAGCGCUUGUGACCAGACUUGCGCCCGGUGAAUCACCCAGCUCUCGCGGCUGGGGCACUUCGCCGGCACAGGCCAGCAUCAGCUCGCGUCGGGGACAAAAGCUUGGGGAACGUAGCUCUCUUCGGGGAGUGUUAUAGCCCCUUGCAUAAUACCUUCGGCGGGCUGAGGUACGCGUUCGCAAGGAUGCUGGCGUAAUGGUCAUCAGCGACCCGUCUUGAAACACGGACCAAGGAGUCAACCUUAUGUGCGAGUGUUUGGGUGUCAAACCCCUACGCGUAAUGAAAGUGAACGCAGGUGAGAGCUUCGGCGCAUCAUCGACCGAUCCUGAUGUUCUCGGAUGGAUUUGAGUAAGAGCAUAUAGGGUUGGACCCGAAAGAAGGUGAACUAUGCGUGUAUAGGGUGAAGCCAGAGGAAACUCUGGUGGAGGCUCGCAGCGGUUCUGACGUGCAAAUCGAUCGUCAAAUAUGCGCAUGGGGGCGAAAGACUAAUCGAACCUUCUAGUAGCUGGUUUCCGCCGAAGUUUCCCUCAGGAUAGCAGUGUUGAACUCAGUUUUAUGAGGUAAAGCGAAUGAUUAGGGACUCGGGGGCGCUAUAUAGCCUUCAUCCAUUCUCAAACUUUAAAUAUGUAAGAAGCCCUUGUUACUUAAUUGAACGUGGGCAUUCGAAUGUAUCAACACUAGUGGGCCAUUUUUGGUAAGCAGAACUGGCGAUGCGGGAUGAACCGAACGCGAGGUUAAGGUGCCAGAGUAGUCGCUCAUCAGACACCACAAAAGGUGUUAGUACAUCUUGACAGCAGGACGGUGGCCAUGGAAGUCGGAAUCCGCUAAGGACUGUGUAACAACUCACCUGCCGAAUGUACUAGCCCUGAAAAUGGAUGGCGCUCAAGCGACUCACCCAUACCUCGCCCUCAGUGUAGAAACGAUGCGCUGAGGAGUAGGCGGACGUGGAGGUCAGUGACGAAGCCUAGGGCGUGAGCCCGGGUAGAACGGCCUCUAGUGCAGAUCUUGGUGGUAGUAGCAAAUACUUCAAUGAGAACUUGAAGGACCGAAGUGGGGAAAGGUUCCAUGUGAACAGCGGUUGGACAUGGGUUAGUCGAUCCUAAGCCAUAGGGAAGUUCCGUUUCAAAGGGGCACUUGUGCCCCGUAUGGCGAAAGGGAAGCCGGUCAAUAUUCCGGCACCUGGAUGUGGGUUUUGCGCGGCAACGCAACUGAACGCGGAGACGACGGCGGGGGCCCCGGGCAGAGUUCUCUUUUCUUCUUAACGGUCUAUCACCCUGAAAUCGGUUUGUCCGGAGCUAGGGUUUAACGGCCGGAAGAGCCCAGCACUUCUGUUGGGUCCGGUGCGCUCUCGACGUCCCUUGAAAAUCCGCGGGAAGGAAUAAUUCUCACGCCAGGUCGUACUCAUAACCGCAGCAGGUCUCCAAGGUGAACAGCCUCUGGUUGAUAGAACAAUGUAGAUAAGGGAAGUCGGCAAAACAGAUCCGUAACUUCGGGAUAAGGAUUGGCUCUAAGGGUUGGGUACGUUGGGCUUUAGGCGGACGGCCCGGGAGCAGGUCGCCACUAGCCGGGCAACCGGCCGGAGGCUUCCAGCAUCUGGGUUCUGACGCCUUUAGCAGGCUUCGGCCGUCCGGCGUACGAUUAACAACCAACUUAGAACUGGUACGGACAAGGUGAAUCUGACUGUCUGAUUAA